RNAcentral lists this ribosomal RNA (606 nucleotides) under Escherichia coli. Its description in RNAcentral is "bacterial SSU rRNA". It matches the Rfam family "Bacterial small subunit ribosomal RNA", at positions 845 to 1449 of the family's 1533-position model. Lineage: Bacteria; Pseudomonadati; Pseudomonadota; Gammaproteobacteria; Enterobacterales; Enterobacteriaceae. The record is from RNAcentral.
UCCGGAGCUAAACGUGUUUAAGUCGACCGCGUGGGGAGUACGGCACGCAAGGUUAAAACUCAAAUGAAUUGUCGGGGGCCCCGCACAAGCGGUGGAGCAUGUGGUUUAAUUCGAUGCAACGCGAAGAACCUUACCUGGUCUUGACAUCCACGGAAGUUUUCAGAGAUGAGAAUGUGCCUUCGGGAACCGUGAGACAGGUGCUGCAUGGCUGUCGUCAGCUCGUGUUGUGAAAUGUUGGGUUAAGUCCCGCAACGAGCGCAACCCUUAUCCUUUGUUGCCAGCGGUCCGGCCGGGAACUCAAAGGAGACUGCCAGUGAUAAACUGGAGGAAGGUGGGGAUGACGUCAAGUCAUCAUGGCCCUUACGACCAGGGUGCACACGUGCUACAAUGGCGCAUACAAAGAGAAGCGACCUCGCGAGAGCAAGCGGACCUCAUAAAGUGCGUCGUAGUCCGGAUUGGAGUCUGCAACUCGACUCCAUGAAGUCGGAAUCGUUAGUAAUCGAGGAUCAGAACGCCGCGGUGAAUACGUUCCCCCCCCUUUUUAGACCGCCCGUCACACCAUGGGAGUGGGUAGCAAAAGAAGUAGGUAGAUUAACGUACGGAGGG